This 63-nucleotide transfer RNA is filed under the name Scelimena sp. 1 JL-2023a. RNAcentral's name for it is "tRNA-Cys". The record is from RNAcentral. Lineage: Eukaryota; Metazoa; Arthropoda; Insecta; Orthoptera; Tetrigidae.
GGCCAUAUAUUCAAAUAUGAUUUUAGACUGCAAUUCUAAAGGUAUGAUUAUUCAUUAAGGCCU